This 253-nucleotide ribosomal RNA is filed under the name uncultured bacterium. RNAcentral's name for it is "partial 16S ribosomal RNA". It matches the Rfam family "Bacterial small subunit ribosomal RNA", at positions 524 to 776 of the family's 1533-position model. The record is from RNAcentral.
UACGUAGGGGGCGAGCGUUGUCCGGAAUCAUUGGGCGUAAAGAGCGUGUAGGCGGUCCGGUAAGUCGGCUGUGAAAGUCCAGGGCUCAACCCUGGGAUGCCGGUCGAUACUGCCGGACUAGAGUUCGGAAGAGGCGAGUGGAAUUCCCGGUGUAGCGGUGAAAUGCGCAGAUAUCGGGAGGAACACCUAUGGCGAAGGCAGCUCGCUGGGACGUUACUGACGCUGAGACGCGAAAGCGUGGGGAGCAAACAGG